UACAGAGGGUGCGAGCGUUAAUCGGAAUUACUGGGCGUAAAGCGUGCGUAGACGGUAGCGUAAGUCAGAUGUGAAAGCCCCGGGCUCAACCUGGGAACUGCAUUUGAGACUGCUCUGCUCGGGUGCGGAAGAGGGAAGCGGAAUUUCCGGUGUAGCGGUGAAAUUCGUAGAUAUCGGGAGGAACACCAGUGGCGAAGGCGGCGACCUGGGCCAAUAUUGACGCUGAGGUGCGAAAGCGUGGGGAGCAAACAGG
This 253-nucleotide ribosomal RNA is filed under the name uncultured bacterium. RNAcentral describes it as "partial 16S ribosomal RNA". It matches the Rfam family "Bacterial small subunit ribosomal RNA", at positions 524 to 776 of the family's 1533-position model. The record is from RNAcentral.